Molecule: ribosomal RNA, 496 nt
Filed under: uncultured bacterium
Lineage: Bacteria
Description: partial 16S ribosomal RNA
Rfam family: Bacterial small subunit ribosomal RNA
Source: RNAcentral
GAUGAACGCUGGCGGCGUGCCUAAUACAUGCAAGUCGAGCGAACAGACGAGGAGCUUGCUCCUCUGACGUUAGCGGCGGACGGGUGAGUAACACGUGGAUAACCUACCUAUAAGACUGGGAUAACUUCGGGAAACCGGAGCUAAUACCGGAUAAUAUAUUGAACCGCAUGGUUCAAUAGUGAAAGACGGUUUUGCUAUCACUUAUAGAUGGAUCCGCGCCGCAUUAGCUAGUUGGUAAGGUAACGGCUUACCAAGGCAACGAUGCGUAGCCGACCUGAGAGGGUGAUCGGCCACACUGGAACUGAGACACGGUCCAGACUCCUACGGGAGGCAGCAGUAGGGAAUCUUCCGCAAUGGGCGAAAGCUUGACGGAGCAACGCCGCGUGAGUGAUGAAGGUCUUCGGAUCGUAAAACUCUGUUAUUAGGGAAGAACAAAUGUGUAAGUAACUAUGCACGUCUUGACGGUACCUAAUCAGAAAGCCACGGCUAACUACGU